GGUGCGUAGGUGGUUGUUUAAGUCUGUUGUGAAAGCCCUGGGCUCAACCUGGGAACUGCAGUGGAAACUGGACGACUAGAGUGUGGUAGAGGGUAGCGGAAUUCCUGGUGUAGCAGUGAAAUGCGUAGAGAUCAGGAGGAACAUCCAUGGCGAAGGCAGCUACCUGGACCAACAUUGACACUGAGGCACGAAAGCGUGGGGAGCAAACA
RNAcentral lists this ribosomal RNA (209 nucleotides) under uncultured bacterium. Its description in RNAcentral is "partial 16S ribosomal RNA". It matches the Rfam family "Bacterial small subunit ribosomal RNA", at positions 566 to 774 of the family's 1533-position model. The record is from RNAcentral.